Tympanuchus pallidicinctus (lesser prairie-chicken) is the source of this 223-nucleotide long non-coding RNA. RefSeq lists it as uncharacterized. NCBI's taxonomy places the organism in Eukaryota, Metazoa, Chordata, Aves, Galliformes, Phasianidae. The transcript has 2 exons. The record is from RefSeq and is a predicted model, not a curated record.
AACAACUUCUGCCUCGUACCUUGUUUUCAGUGGCAUGCUUUUCCUUCUCAACCUUGGCCAACGUUAACUCCAGGUCAUCUAUAUCUUUCUUCAGCUCUGAGCAUUCAUCCUCCAGUUUCCUCUUCUUGGCUGUCAGCUCAGCAUUAAUUUCCUCCUCAUCCUCAGCCCGUUCUGUCACCUCCUUAAUUUUGGCUUCCAGCUGGAUUUUGGUUUUGAUGAGCUG